GGGCAGAUGAGGCAAAUGGGGCUAAGGAUGGGUUAACCAUUAUGCAUCUGUUUAUGUUGGGUUUUGACAAAGGAGCAGAUUUAAAGCUGAUUUUAAAUGAAAGUCAGACAUACCAUGAUAUUAUCCAAAAAGACUUUAAGGAGGCGUAUAACAACUUGACUUUCAAAACUAUUAUGGGAAUGGAAUGGAUCUCCACCUACUGUCCUCAAUCAAAGUAUGUCAUGAAAACUGACAGUGACAUGUUUGUGAACACUGAAUAUCUACUGGAUAUGCUUCAACCAAACCUACCACCGAAACAAAAUUUCUUCACUGGUGCUUUUUUCAAAGAUCCUGUUCCUCAUAGAUCAAAAGAAAGCAAAUGGUAUGUUCCAUAUUCUGUUUAUCCAGAGAGCC
This is a non-coding RNA of Pelobates cultripes (western spadefoot toad), 393 nucleotides long. The record is from the annotation of a GenBank genome assembly. NCBI's taxonomy places the organism in Eukaryota, Metazoa, Chordata, Amphibia, Anura, Pelobatidae.